This 355-nucleotide long non-coding RNA is filed under the name Homo sapiens (human). RNAcentral's name for it is "non-protein coding lnc-TMEM150C-1:1". Lineage: Eukaryota; Metazoa; Chordata; Mammalia; Primates; Hominidae. The record is from RNAcentral.
UGAUGGUAGACUGUUUAAGGGUUUUGGGAUGACCACAGUGUGGAGAUUAUUGAUCGGUCAAAGAGUGCAGAGUGAAGUCAGGGGACAGGAAGAUACAGAAACUGUAUUCUCAUGCUGAUUCCAGUCCUCUGUGGGGGUCUUCAAACUUGUUGGCAUCAGCUGUUUCACUGCAAUUUGGGAGCUGAGAAUCAUCUUAAGCAAUUCUUAAACAAAGGUCUUAUGAGUCUAGUGUCAGAGAGCCUGUCUAUUUUAAACAAAAGCCUUAAGUAAUUCUAAUGUCGGAAAUCCCAUCUGUAGGAAUGACAGGGAUACGAAUGGUAUCUGGUGCUACACGACUUCUGUUUACAAAGAAAUG